RNAcentral lists this antisense RNA (75 nucleotides) under Sorangium cellulosum. RNAcentral describes it as "ASpks TB sRNA". It matches the Rfam family "ASpks TB sRNA". The record is from RNAcentral. Lineage: Bacteria; Pseudomonadati; Myxococcota; Polyangiales; Polyangiaceae.
CUUGAGGCUUCCGAGCCAGAGCGGAUGGUCGGGCGAGCGGUUCUCACCAUAGGUGGCGAGGAGCGCCUGAGCUUC